Molecule: ribosomal RNA, 691 nt
Filed under: Ramaria rubrievanescens
Lineage: Eukaryota; Fungi; Basidiomycota; Agaricomycetes; Gomphales; Gomphaceae
Description: eukaryotic LSU rRNA
Rfam family: 5.8S ribosomal RNA (bases 260-414)
Source: RNAcentral
UAGAGGAAGUAAAAGUCGUAACAAGGUUUCCGUAGGUGAACCUGCGGAAGGAUCAUUAGAGUAUGAUUGAAGGGGGUUUCAGAUGCCGCGCUUGCGUGUGCGCCCUCCUGGUCCCAUCUUUACUACACCUGUGCACCUAUGGUGAGCGUCUCCCGUUCGGAGCCGUCCCGCGCCCUUUGGGCGUCGGACUGGGGCGCUCCCAUCUUAACAUUUACACCCCAUCUUAACAACGCAUGUCAUUGUCCCAAAAAGUUAAUACAACUUUCAACAACGGAUCUCUUGGCUUUUGCAUCGAUGAAGAACGCCGCGAACGUGCGAAACGUAAUGUGAAUUGCAGAAUUCAGUGAAUCAUCGAAUCUUUGAACGCAUCUUGCGCCCCUUGGAAUUCCGAGGGGCAUGCCUGUUUGAGUGUCGUGUACUACCCUCAGGCUUACCUCUUUGUUGAGGUGGGCUUGGAUUUGGACGUCUGCGGGGGGGGAGGGUUUACCCUUCGGGGUCUCGCCGCCCGCUCGUCUUUAAAUGCAUUAGCUUUGGUCUUGGUUCCAGCGAGGGCGUGAUAACAAACGCUUCGUUGACCGUGGCGCCGCUCGUUCGGUGGCCGAGGCCUGCUUACAGUCGUCUUCGGACAAAAGUGUUGACGUUUGACCUCAAAUCAGGUAGGGCUACCCGCUGAACUUAAGCAUAUCAAUAA